UGCCAGCAGCCGCGGUAAUACGAAGGGUGCUAGCGUUGUUCGGAAUUACUGGGCGUAAAGAGCAUGUAGGCGGAUGAAUUAGUCAGAGGUGAAAGCCCCGAGCUCAACUUGGGAACUGCCUUUGAUACUGUUUAUCUAGAGUCCGAGAGAGGUUAGUGGAAUUCCCAGUGUAGAGGUGAAAUUCGUAGAUAUUGGGAAGAACACCGAUAGCGAAGGCAGCUUACUAAGUUAGUAUUGACGCUAAUGCACGAAAGUGUGGGGAGCAAACAGGAUUAGAUA
Molecule: ribosomal RNA, 279 nt
Filed under: uncultured bacterium
Lineage: Bacteria
Description: partial 16S ribosomal RNA
Rfam family: Bacterial small subunit ribosomal RNA
Source: RNAcentral